CUUUGUUGAAUAACUCCAUAGCAGCCCACUUACAGCAUGGGAAACAUAUUGUGCCCAUAUGGUAAUUCUAAAUCUGUCGAUAUAUUCCUGCGUGGAUGUUAUUUUGUACAGAUCUGUGUUUUGUUCAUAUCGUUGUGUUUUUACAGCAAAAGAGAAGGAAGGUGCAGUUUGCGGAGUGGUGGCUUGGCUGUGUGACCUCAUACUUCUGUAUUUAUGGAUAGAAACACAAAAAUCAGACAGCAGCUCAUAAGCGUGCUGAGUCGAUCUGGCUCUAGGCUUCCGUUCCCACAGACUCCUUUCCCCUCAGCUCACAGCAGUAUCCUGCAAGAUGCUUCCGG
This is a non-coding RNA of Pelobates cultripes (western spadefoot toad), 338 nucleotides long. Lineage: Eukaryota; Metazoa; Chordata; Amphibia; Anura; Pelobatidae. The record is from the annotation of a GenBank genome assembly.